This 468-nucleotide ribosomal RNA is filed under the name uncultured bacterium. RNAcentral describes it as "partial 16S ribosomal RNA". It matches the Rfam family "Bacterial small subunit ribosomal RNA", at positions 28 to 507 of the family's 1533-position model. The record is from RNAcentral.
GACGAACGCUGGCGGCGUGCUUAACACAUGCAAGUCGAACGGAAAGGCCCUGCUUUUGUGGGGUGCUCGAGUGGCGAACGGGUGAGUAACACGUGAGUAACCUGCCCUUGACUGUGGGAUAACUUCAGGCAACUGGGGCUAAUACCGGAUAGGAGCUCCUGCUGCAUGGUGGGGGUUGGAAAGUUUCGGCGGUUGGGGAUGGACUCGCGGCUUAUCAGCUUGUUGGUGGGGUAGUGGCUUACCAAGGCUUUGACGGGUAGCCGGCCUGAGAGGGUGACCGGCCACAUUGGGACUGAGAUACGGCCCAGACUCCUACGGGAGGCAGCAGUGGAGAAUCUUGCACAAUGGGCGGAAGCCUGAUGCAGCAACGCCGCGUGCGGGAUGACGGCCUUCGGGUUGUAAACCGCUUUCGCCUGUGACGAAGCGUUAGUGACGGUAAUGGGUAAAGAAGCACCGGCUAACUACGUG